Molecule: long non-coding RNA, 5272 nt
Filed under: Sus scrofa (pig)
Lineage: Eukaryota; Metazoa; Chordata; Mammalia; Artiodactyla; Suidae
Description: lncRNA (ENSSSCG00000051853.1)
Source: RNAcentral
GGUGAUGCACCUGCAAGCCAAGGAACGCUGAGCACCACCGGCUGGGAGGGAGGCCUGGCGUUUCCUCCUCAGAGCCUCCAGGCAGACGUGAUCCUGCCAACACUCUGCUCUCUGACUCCUGACCUCCUGCAUCUGUGCGAGAACAAAUUUCUGGGUUUUAAAAUUUCUUAUGUAUUUAUUUUUAGGGCCAUACCCACGGCAUAUAAAAGUUCCCCCCCGCCAGGGAUUGAAUCUGAGCUGUAGCUGCAACCUAUGGCAUAGCCGUGGCAACACAGGAUCCUUUAACCCCCUGGGCCAGGCUGGGGAGGAAACCCAUAUAUCUGCAGUGACCUGAGCUGCUGCCAUCAGAUUCUUAACCCACUGUGCCAUAGCAGGACCUCCAAGUUUCUGUUGUUGUCUCCCAAGUUUGUGGUGACUCGUUACAGCAGCCCUAGGAAUAACGAACGCAGAAGGGGAGGGAAAACAGUCUUUGAAAGACCUUCUAAGCAUGACCGUGGUUCAGAAUGAGUAACUGGAAGCGGGAGUGGAAUUUAGGCAUGUGCUCUGGGGACAAGGAGAGUCUCUCUUCAUAACAUGGAAAACCUCAGGGCAGCACGUUCACGCUCACCUCUGCUUUAGGGAACUGAUCUUCUCCUGCUUCCCCACCCCUGAUGGCGCCCCCGCCUAGUCUGGUCCCUGGGAUCGCUGACUCUUUGGGAUGGGUGGAGGGGCCAGAGGACCUCACAUCUGAAAAUGUAGAGUCGCAAGAGAUCGCCUGUCCUACCCAAGGGCCCAUUCAUUCACUUAUUAACAGUUCACUUAUUAACUUACGAACAGUGCGCACUGAGCUCUGUGCAAUGCCUGGCCAACAGGGACCUGCUGUCAGCGGCAUUCCGUGGUCAUCUAUGUGGGAAAAGAACCCGAGAGGGAAUGGAUGUGUGUACAUGUGUAACUGAAUCACUUUGUUGUACAGCAGAUAUUAUCACCACAUUGCAAAUCAACUAGACUUCGAUAAAACCUUAGAAAAUGGAAGGCACCCAAUUCAUUCAUUGAUUAACUAAUGAACUAAUUGAUUGAUUAACUAAUUAAACUGGAAGCCACGCUGUGUGGCUUCUUUCUUCCCUUUUCUCCAGUUUAUUCCUACCCUCCACCAGAAUCAAAUGCUUCCCCUAAAACUGAAGUCCUUCCAGUGAGGUGCAAAGAAUCUGUUACACUCAUUCACACUAACCUUUCAGACGGUUCAGAGUGAUCUAAUGGCCUUUUCAUCAACAGGGUGUUUGAGGUUUUAAAGUGAGAGCUGGGAAACGCAGUGAUGGCUCUCUGGUGCUGGCGAUGGAAUCACUGCAAGGUUGCCUCUGUCCUCUGUCCUCAUCUCAGGGCAAUAAUUCUGCCUAAGUCCCUUGUGACAAGCUAAGGGGGUGGGCUGCUCAGUGCAGUCGGGACCGGGAUAGGCCUGAGGGUGGGCACAGGUGAAAUGGAGGGAAUCCUCUCUGCUCUUGGGCAACUUCACUCCCAGCUCUGCAGGAGAAGUCUGGGGCGGGUGGCUCAGCUCAGGGCUUCCUCCCUGGGCGGAGUUGACCUUGAGAGGGGCGGUGGUGUCCCCACUGCCUUCCUGGGGGCCCUUUAACGCUAAUCUGAACAGUCUGGAAAUGGAAUCCCUGGGACCCUUCCCCAUCACCAUUAUUAUAACAAACUCCAGAAUUGUAGCCCAAGAGCCUCAGGCUUCAGGAAUGCAGCCUCUAAUUACUUCGCUUCUAAGUGCUCACGGUAACGAAUGAUGAGGCCUCACGCAUCAGACCAGUUAAACUGUUGUGCCACUGGGCCGCAAUUUAACUCGGCAGACGACAGGCUCAAAUUUGGCACAUGGAGAGAACGUGAACUAUUUGGGAAUUGUUAACUUUGAGAACAACCUUUGAGUGCCAGGGAUGCUUCUGGAAGGGAGAAGUUAAGUCAGUGAAGUCUUGGAUCACAAGUUGAUAUCCACGGCUGCCUCCCUUUACUGUGCAUCCAGCCCUGCCCCGUAAGGCAGGGGUCAGAGCCUGGAGGCAUCGGGGAGGGACAGGACGGCCAGGCACACUGCUGGCUGCUGGGGGGUAAGGAGUGCUGGAGCCGAGACCACCCUGGGUCUCUGUCCUCUAGGGGCUUAUGUCUGGCGGCAGGUGGGGAGCAGACCCCCACACAUCUGUUUCAUGGGCCACACUGGACUGCAUUCUAGAGAAUUACAAACUGAGGCUCUGGGGCUUACUGGAGACUGAGUAAUCGUGCCGCAAGGCAUGGGGAGAUGAUGGAGGGUGUUCUCGGAAGCCGAUGUCUGAGUUGGAUGUUGGAGGAUGCACAGGCUAAAGGGGGAAAUUAGGGAGUGACCCAGAUGCCUCCUUAGGAAGGAGGCUUUGGGCAGUGCAGCAAGUCAUGAUAUGAGUGGGCAAAUGAAAGGGGAGGGAGAGUGGAGGGUGGCUGUUUCCAAGCAGCUGGGGCUGGGCUCAGAGGCCAGGUUCAUUCCCUUUCCCAAGGGAACACACUUGCAGGGGGCUCACCAGUAACAAACUGCUGCCACACCCAACCGGGGGUGGGGACUGAACAGAGGCGGGUCCAGCCAUGGUCUGGCGUGUAUGGCAAGGAGCCUGAGUUAGGUCGGUGCUAUAACUCAGUUGAGCUCAGACCCACUGGGUGGCUUCAGAGCUCCCAGGCGCUACCUCUCCACUCGCCCUCCUGCCAUGUCCUUGAAGAGGCACUUGGGUCUGUCUGUGGUCAUUCCUACCCCUGGUACCAUCCGCUCCUCCCGACUCCCCUUCCCUCGCUUAUGAUCUGAAAGGGUCAGCCCCAGCUCCAGAGAACUUGACCUUGGGGUGAGAACCCAGCGGCAGGGAGGUUUGCAGGCGGACUGCAGCUGGCCAUGCGCAGGUCUGGGGCAAAGCGCUCCCCGGGGCCCGUUCUGUCUGUGCAAACGGAUAUGCGAUGUGGCACGUCCCGCCGCCCCGGGAUGGGCUGGUGUCCAAGCUCAGGGGGACCACGGGGCUCUCGCCGGCCUCCCCUUGAGACUGUCUUUUCCUCCUUCCUGCUGCCUUCCAUUCAUUCACCAGGCCCCGACGGCGUCCAGAGCUCCUUAUACAUUUGCUUUGAAUCCUUAUUUCCAGAUUAGCCACCGUGCACACAAAAUGGAGCGUCUCUGAUUUGAGGAGCAAAAACAGUCAUUACUAGAUUGGUUCUCUCUCGCAGAAUGUGGAGGAACAAACAAUGCCACACAAUUUCAGUUUGUAUAGCGUCUUUCAAACCACGCAAUGCCCCGGGCAGAGCGCAGCAUUGCUGUAAAUAAUACAAUCGUGGAGACAAACAUUCUAAACAUCUUUGCAUCGAGUUUCGUUUUGUGCUGCCAUACUGGGCUGCGGGGGCAGGGAGGAAAGAGAGGGGGCAGCUGCAGCCCUGGACCCUGGGGGAAGCCCAAGGGGUGCAGCCCAGGGGACAGCGGAAGGGACACGGGGGACCGAGAUCAGCACCAGCUCUUUAAAUGAGGGCAGGAGACAGGGUACAAGCAGGGGGAGGUGGGAGGAGGUCAGUCCUGGGAGGCAGCAGGGUCCGAAGUAGCCUCCUUGGGAAGGGGCCACCUCCACUUGGGACAGGACUGGGGAGAGGCAGGUGGCGGGGGACAGGAGAAGGUGCUCUUUUAUGGAAAGCUCUAGAGUGUCCUGAGUGCACAGGAGGUGGUCGGUCUAGUUAUUUGAUGGAUAGAACCUAUUGGGUGACUCAGUUUUGUCUCCUUGACCUUGGUUUUCCCGUGAAAGAAGGAUCAUUAAGUUCCGGGCAGGACUGAUGGUCUCUGAGCCACCGAUCCUGCAGCUUCCACAAAUCGCCCCAGGAUGAAACCAUCAGGGAUUCUGGCCACUGCCUUCUGCCUGGGGGGAGAGGGCAACCCCCCACUCCUUCCUGUAGGAGAGCCUCCCAGCUUCCAGUGGAGCAAACCCCCCCACCCACUGCACCUGCUCUGGAGAAGGAGACAGAGUGAGCCGGAGAAACUAUCCCUUAACUGAAUACCCAGACUGCCUCUCAAUCUUCCUAGGGGACUUUGGGUAAAAGACAAUGUCUCUGAUUCCCCAUUGGCCAACUUUAUUUAUUUAUUUGGGCUGCACCCGCGGCACAUGGACCUUCCCAGGCUAGGGGUUAAAUCAGAGCUGCAGCUGCCGGCUUACACCACAGACACAGCAAGACCAGAUCCGAGCUGUCUGUGAUGGAUACCACGGUUUGUGGCAACGCAGGAUCCUUUAACCUACUGAGAGGCCAGGGAUUGAACCCGCAUCCUCAUGGAUACCAGUUGAAUUCUUAACCCACAGACCCCUCACGGGAACUCCUCCAUUUGCCAACUUUAAAUAGGCAUGAAAAAAUGGGUAUGUACAUGGGCAUACCUAUUCACAGGGUCUUGGUGAGGAUUAACUGAGAUACCAUGUCCUAGGUCACUGGUACUCACGGUCUGGCACACCCAGAGAGCACAAUUAAUGGUUACGAUGGUGAUUUUAAUUCUUGGUGAUGGCGAUUCAUCCACCGAGCGGGAACACAGUCAGCUCUGGGGGGAGAGGCUGGGGGCAGAGGGCAGGUGGCAAGAGCGCAGGGACCCGCUGCCCUGCUGGACCCACCCUGGGCGCCCGCCGUGGCUGCCUCUGGGAUGGGCACCUGGCGCUCACUCUCAUUUUCAAGCUGCUGUAGUUUUUGUUCCUCGUUCCUCCCAAUUUGGGUGAAGUUCGCCAUAUGGAGAGCAGGGAACAGUGUUAAAAAAGCUUUCACACGUAGAUAGCGCCGCGCUUUCUCUGCUAAAUGAGGACUCUCUUCCGCAGCGCAGAUUUCACACGCCGAUCUCCAGGGUGUUGGGUUCCCUCGUCAACAGGGCUGGAGUUGUCAGGCCUCCUGGAGCCAUUGUCUCGGGCCCUCGGGGUCCUGUUCCGACCCCGGGAGAAAUCCCAUCUUCUCUUUCCUCCCCAGGGGUGAGGGGGUGCCAGCUCUCUCAGGUGAACCCACGUUGCCUCCAAGACCGAGAGGUGGGGCUCCACCCCCGCCCCGGCGGCUCCGCUGCUGCCAGGCCCGGCGCGCGGGGUCUCCCGGGAUCCCUCUGGAUUGCUGCUCUGGUUUCCCGUCUGGAAGCGAGCUGGGCUGUUCGGAACUGAGCCCAAGCCCGCUGUUCCCCAGCCCACGGUGCGCAGUCUCUAGAACUUUCUCUCCCAGCCAAGACAUCUGCUGCAGUGUGACUCCCUCCCCUCCUCCACUGCUUCUUCCUGGCCUGACGGCACCAGGGUGCCUAUUUGCGUUG